Molecule: ribosomal RNA, 545 nt
Filed under: uncultured bacterium
Lineage: Bacteria
Description: bacterial SSU rRNA
Rfam family: Bacterial small subunit ribosomal RNA
Source: RNAcentral
AAUAGAUACCCGGGUAGUCCACCCCGUAAACGUUGGGAACUAGUUGUGGGGUCCUUUCCACGGAUUCCGUGACGCAGCUAACGCAUUAAGUUCCCCGCCUGGGGAGUACGGCCGCAAGGCUAAAACUCAAAGGAAUUGACGGGGACCCGCACAAGCGGCGGAGCAUGCGGAUUAAUUCGAUGCAACGCGAAGAACCUUACCAAGGCUUGACAUACACGAGAACACCCUGGAAACAGGGGACUCUUUGGACACUCGUGAACAGGUGGUGCAUGGUUGUCGUCAGCUCGUGUCGUGAGAUGUUGGGUUAAGUCCCGCAACGAGCGCAACCCUCGUUCUAUGUUGCCAGCACGUAAUGGUGGGAACUCAUGGGAUACUGCCGGGGUCAACUCGGAGGAAGGUGGGGAUGACGUCAAAUCAUCAUGCCCCUUAUGUCUUGGGCUUCACGCAUGCUACAAUGGCCGGUACAAAGGGCUGCAAUACCGUGAGGUGGAGCGAAUCCCAAAAAGCCGGUCCCAGUUCGGAUUGAGGUCUGCAACUCGACCUCA